AAGCCCAAAGGCGCAAUGAAAGUGAAGGUCUCCCUUGCGGAGCUGAUGUGUGAUCCUGGGCACUGCGGUGCCCCCCGGGCGCAACAUAGUCCCGUCCCGAUCGCUUGCGAUGGGGCGGAGACAGAGCGUACGCGCUGAGACCCGAAAGAUGGUGAACUAUUCCUGAGCAGGAUGAAGCCAGAGGAAACUCUGGUGGAAGUCCGAAGCGAUUCUGACGUGCAAAUCGAUCGUC
Molecule: ribosomal RNA, 232 nt
Filed under: Rotylenchus robustus
Lineage: Eukaryota; Metazoa; Nematoda; Chromadorea; Rhabditida; Hoplolaimidae
Description: partial large subunit ribosomal RNA
Rfam family: Eukaryotic large subunit ribosomal RNA
Source: RNAcentral